This 487-nucleotide ribosomal RNA is filed under the name uncultured bacterium. RNAcentral's name for it is "partial 16S ribosomal RNA". It matches the Rfam family "Bacterial small subunit ribosomal RNA", at positions 355 to 850 of the family's 1533-position model. The record is from RNAcentral.
UGGGGAAUAUUGCACAAUGGGCGAAAGCCUGAUGCAGCAACGCCGCGUGCGGGAUGACGGCCUUCGGGUUGUAAACCGCUUUCAGCAGGGGCGAAGGUUUUCUGACGGUACCUGCAGAAGAAGCACCGGCUAACUACGUGCCAGCAGCCGCGGUGAUACGUAGGGUGCGAGCGUUGUCCGGAAUUAUUGGGCGUAAAGAGCUUGUAGGCGGUCCGUUGCGUCGGAAGUGAAAACUCAGGGCUUAACCCCUGAGCCUGCUUUCGAUACGGGCGGACUUGAGGGAUGUAGGGGAGAACGGAAUUCCUGGUGGAGCGGUGGAAUGCGCAGAUAUCAGGAGGAACACCAGUGGCGAAGGCGGUUCUCUGGACAUUUCCUGACGCUGAGAAGCGAAAGCGUGGGGAGCAAAACAGGCUUAGAUACCCUGGUAGUCCACGCCGUAAACGGUGGGCACUAGGUGUGGGACCCAUUCCACGGGUUCCGUGCCGUA